UACGGAGGGUGCAAGCGUUGUCCGGAAUCACUGGGCGUAAAGGGCGCGUAGGCGGCCUGGUAAGUAGGGGGUGAAAUCCUGCGGCUUAACCGCAGGGCUGCCUUCUAAACUGUCAGGCUUGAGCACGGUAGAGGCAGAUGGAAUUCCCGGUGUAGCGGUGGAAUGCGUAGAGAUCGGGAAGAACAUCAGUGGCGAAGGCGGUCUGCUGGGCCGUUGCUGACGCUGAGGCGCGACAGCGUGGGGGAGCAAACAGG
RNAcentral lists this ribosomal RNA (254 nucleotides) under uncultured bacterium. Its description in RNAcentral is "partial 16S ribosomal RNA". It matches the Rfam family "Bacterial small subunit ribosomal RNA", at positions 524 to 776 of the family's 1533-position model. The record is from RNAcentral.